RNAcentral lists this long non-coding RNA (243 nucleotides) under Mytilus galloprovincialis (Mediterranean mussel). The record is from RNAcentral. Lineage: Eukaryota; Metazoa; Mollusca; Bivalvia; Mytilida; Mytilidae.
GUGGUUUAGGAGGUACAAUAAGGAUAAUCUUAUCUGGAUGUGGUUUAUGAGGUAAAAUAAGGAUCAUCCAUUUCUGAUGUGGUUUAAGAGGUACAAUAAGGAUCAUCCUAUUCUGAUGUGGUUUAGGUGGUACACUAAGAUCAUCCUAUUCUGGUAUGGUUUAGGAGGUACAAUAAGGAUAAUCUUAUUCGGAUGUGGUUUAGGAGGUACAAUAAGGAUAAUCUUAUUUAGAUGUGGUUUAGG